AUACGUAGGUGGCAAGCGUUGUCCGGAAUUACUGGGCGUUAAAGGAUGCGUAGGCGGAUAUGUAAGUCAGAUGUGAAAUACCCGGGCUCAAACUUGGGUGCUGCAUUUGAAACUGCAUGUCUAGAGUGCGGGAGAGGAAAGUGGAAUUCCUAGUGUAGCGGUGAAAUGCGUAGAGAUUAGGAAGAACACCAGUGGCGAAGGCGACUUUCUGGACCGUAACUGACGCUGAGGCAUGAAAGCGUGGGUAGC
Molecule: ribosomal RNA, 249 nt
Filed under: uncultured bacterium
Lineage: Bacteria
Description: partial 16S ribosomal RNA
Rfam family: Bacterial small subunit ribosomal RNA
Source: RNAcentral